GAUGAAGAACGCAGCGAAAUGCGAUAAGUAGUGUGAAUUGCAGAAUUCAGUGAAUCAACGAAUCUUUGAACGCACAUUGCGCCCUUUGGUAUUCCAAAGGGCAUGCCUGUUCGAGCGUCAUUUGUACCCUCAAGCUUUGCUUGGUGUUGGGCGUCUUGUCUCUAGCUUUGCUGGAGACUCGCCUUAAAGUAAUUGGCAGCCGGCCUACUGGUUUCGGAGCGCAGCACAAGUCGCACUCUCUAUCAGCAAAGGUCUAGCAUCCAUUAAGCCUUUUUUUCAACUUUUGACCUCGGAUCAGGUAGGGAUACCCGCUGAACUUAAGCAUAUCAAUAAGCGGAGGA
This 341-nucleotide unclassified non-coding RNA is filed under the name soil metagenome. Its description in RNAcentral is "partial contains 5.8S ribosomal RNA, internal transcribed spacer 2, and large subunit ribosomal RNA". The stretch from base 1 to 120 matches the Rfam family "5.8S ribosomal RNA", at positions 35 to 154 of the family's 154-position model. The record is from RNAcentral.